Populus euphratica (Euphrates poplar) is the source of this 1091-nucleotide long non-coding RNA. RefSeq lists it as uncharacterized. The record is from RefSeq and is a predicted model, not a curated record. The transcript has 4 exons. Lineage: Eukaryota; Viridiplantae; Streptophyta; Magnoliopsida; Malpighiales; Salicaceae.
CCCGCCUUUCCAAAAAAAAUAUCCAUGCAAAUUUUGGAGCUGGAGGCUCCGUUUCGCAAAUGGGCUGACCAACCAUAUCCACUUGGAAAGUUCGGAGCUCAUUUCUCCAAUGGCCACCCGUAGUAGGGUCUUAGGAGGACCCGACACUACUCUCUUCUUCUCUCGAAACUAAAACCAAAGCAGCAGCUACCCCAAGGACAACCUCAGUAUCAUUCUCUCCGCCAAUCCGACUUCAGUACCCCAAAACUCUGCUGCUGUUGGUUCCGCUCUAACUCUCUUCACUUGCCCUCAAGAAAAGGUCUCACUGUUUUAGCAGUUGAAGAUAAGGAACCCGAGAUUGCGGAGGAGAUUAACAACGUGAGCCAGAAGAAUGGUGGCUUUGAAUCCGAGAAGCAAACCAAACCAUGCGAACUAUACGUCUGUAAUCUUCCAAGGUGUUCCGACAUUGCAGACCUUGUAGAAAUGUUCAAGUCUUUCGGCUCUGUUCUUUCUGUUGAGGUUUCUCGGAACCCUGAGACCGGUGUAAGCCGAGGAUGUGGUAACAUCACAAUGAGUUCUAUAAAGUCGGCAAGGAAUGCAGUCUCUGCAUUGGAUGGAUCAGAUGUCGGUGGCAGGGAGAAGGAACCCUAAGGCUCUGAACUCAGCAACCACAAAACACCUAUUUUACGAAAAUCCACAUAAGUUGUGAAUAGGCAAUCUUCCAUGGAGUACAAAACUGGAGGAGCUGAGGAAUCUAUUUAGCCAGUUUGGGGUUGUGGAUAGUGCAAGGGUGUUGUAUGAUCGUAGAGGAGGAAAGAACCGUACUUAUGCCUUUCUUUCAUUUUCAUCUUCUGCAGAACGUGAUGCUGCACUUUCAAUGAAUGGAACAGACUUCUAUGAUGGUGUUUUAGUUGUUAAAAGAUGGGUUGAGAGACGACCAAGCUCUGACUGAAAUUUUGCUGCUUGCAUAUAUGUAAUGAGGCUGGACAAAUACAAUAGCUCGAAGCAUUCUCCUUGCCUGAAACAUUGGCAGAGGGUUUGCUUUCUCAUCCUCGUUCCUUCAAAUUCAAGUUUCGUAUCUCACACUGAAGUUUGAGUACCCGUCAAAGUUC